GACGAACGCUGGCGGCGUGCCUAACACAUGCAAGUCGAGCGGAGUCGAUCGACGGAAGCCUUCGGGCGGAAGAUGGUUGACUUAGCGGCGGAUGGGUGAGUAACGCGUGGGCAACCUGCCUCGAAGACCGGGAUAACAGCCCGAAAGGGCUGCUAAUACCGGAUGUGGUCAAGGAUCCGCAUGGAUUUUUGAUUAAAGGGGAAACCCGUUUCGAGAUGGGCCCGCGUCCUAUCAGCUAGUUGGUGAGGUAAAAGCUCACCAAGGCGACGACGGGUAGCCGGCCUGAGAGGGUGACCGGCCACACUGGAACUGAGACACGGUCCAGACUCCUACGGGGGGCAGCAGUGGGGAAUCUUCCACAAUGGGCGAAAGCCUGAUGGAGCGACGCCGCGUGAGCGAAGAAGGCCUUCGGGUUGUAAAGCUCUGUCUGGAGGGACGAGGAAGUGACGGUACUCCGGAGGAGCCACGGCUAACUACGUGCCAGCAGCCGCGGUAAAUCACGUGUA
This 506-nucleotide ribosomal RNA is filed under the name uncultured bacterium. Its description in RNAcentral is "bacterial SSU rRNA". It matches the Rfam family "Bacterial small subunit ribosomal RNA", at positions 28 to 533 of the family's 1533-position model. The record is from RNAcentral.